CGACGGAAGCGGCUGGUUGAAGAUAGUACGGAUGGUGAGGAGGGACAAAAACUACGGAAGACGGGGGUGGAGCUUGGAAGAGCGGACAGGAAGAGACAUGAAAAGGAGAUGGGCGUGACCCAAAGGCAAUGGAAGAAAUGUGAUCAAGCUUCUGUUUUUAGAAAGUUUAUUUGAGGAUGGUGAGUUGGAGUCUGGAAGCCGAGAAUACAUGAAGAAGAUUGUUGCAAACUCAAUGAUGUCUACACUAAUAUAAAGGUGGCCAGACCCUGAAAAGCUUAGAUUGGUAUAAAGGAGAUUCAAAUACAUGUCUUACAUAUGCUUAAGAAAUCGAGCUACAGGAAGAGACAAGGCAGAACAAGCCAUCUGCCUGGAAGGUAUGCAAGAUCCAAGAGUGAGUGUGCAAAGGAAGAGAGCUUCAGUCUUCUAAGAUCAUGGGCAGUGAAGAGGUCAGAGACUCUAAGCUGCAUAAAGAAUAUCAAGACCAAGGCAGACAGCGUCUGGGGCUCGUAAAAGCCAGCAGAACACUGUGCUUUCAGCUGUUUGGCACGCAAAGUCCCUUCCUUCAAAACAGUGCCACACACAUCUUCUCUAAGAAAUCUUCCAGCGUAUCUCAGCAGUAAAGAGCUAUUCCAUGCAUGGACUCACUGAUGCGUGCUCAGGGCUGGCCUAUGAGGAAUGGAGAGGUUUUGAUGACACUGGGCCAAGGGACUGAGAAGACUAGAGACCUGCUGCAGCUUGUUCAUCCUUCUUCCCUGUGACGUUCAGGUGAGAAAUCAAAAUAGUACAACCACCUGAAUAAAUGCCCGAUUUCUUAGUGUGAAGCUCUUUUUAAAACAAAAUUUGGGAGCCAGUGUUUAGCCUAGCAUCCCACAUUGGGCUCCAUGUCCAGUUCUGGCUUCUGACUCCAGCUUCCUGCUAAAGCAUACCCUAAAAGGCAGCAUGAUGGCUCAGUAUUUGGGUCCCUGGUUCCCACUUGGGAGACCUGGAUUUUGUUCCUGGCUCCUAGCUUCAGCACUGGCUCAACCUGGACAUCUCGGGGUGAACCAGCAGAUAGGAGCUCUGUUUCUGUCUUUCUACCUCUCAAACCCUCACAACUCCCUCCCCUCCAGAAAAGAUACCAAAAGAAAAAAAUUAGAGGAAGGAUCUACACAAAAGGCCCACAAGCACCUCUCCCUCCCCAUGACACACUAAAAUCUUCCUGCCCACUGUUCUACCACAUCAGACAAGAAAUCCAAGUAAGAAAAGGUACACUUGCUAUGCACCUGAGGAAGAGAAACCUGAGGAAGGAUGGCCAGAUUCCAACAGAAGGCCCUGAUCCGUUCACCUAUUCCUGCAACACGAAGUAGGAGAGGAAGCUGAUUGGAGGAUCAUCACUCUGCUCUUGUUAAAUGUGAAUCAGUGAAUUUCCUGGAAUAUGACUGAUCUACUCAACAACUCCUCUCUGGGAAAACGUGAAAACUAGGAGAGAAUGGGAGAUGUGGGGCCUCCCUUUCCUCUAACACUUGACCUUUGAAACUCGGGCCAUGGCGGGGACAGGCGUUUGGCACAGUGGUUAAGUCACCAUUGAGGACACCUACGUUCCUUAUGAGAGUGCCUGGUUCAAGACCUGCUCCUCUGCUUCCAACCCAGCUUCCUGCCAAUGCACUCUGGGAGGCAACAGUAAUGGCUCAACUACUUGGAUCCCUGCCACUCAAGUGGGAGACCCAGCUCCUGGCCUCAGUCUGGCCCAGCCCUGGCUGUUGCAGACAUUUGGGGAAUGAACCAAAAGGUGAAAUCUCUCUCUCUUUCUGUGUCUCUCUGCCUUUCAAAUGAAAUUAAAAUAAAUAAAUAUUUAAUUGAAAAAAGAAUGGGCCAACAGGAUCAGCAUUGCUGGGGAGCUUGUUAGAAAAGCAGAAACUUGGGCCCCACCUAGAUUAACAGAAUUGAUCAUACACAGGUUAAUGUUUGAGAUGCACUGAGUCUCUGAUUCCUAAAUUGACUCUCAAAUUUUUUGUCAUUUGAAUCUUUGCUCACUUCCUAAAAUAAUGCUCUGCAUAUGGUCAACAGUUAAUGAAUGCUUGUUGGCACCUAUUUAAUUCCAUUCGAAGGGAGGAGGCCUCUUCUGAGAAGCCAGAACGCACUUACUGAUGAGUGCCUUCGAUAGACAGAAGUGUACUACAAACAAGCAGACAAAACAAUUCCAGACAUUACACAUAGCUCUGCUGAGCAGGACAGAUGGGCAGAGUAAAAGUCUCGUCUCAAUCUAUCUCUCCGCCCAUAACAUUCCCUCUUUGCCCCAUUUAAGCUCUCUUUUAUCAGAGCUAGCUCUAUGCCUUUGGAUUGAGUUUCGCUUCCUCCACAGGGUAGUGUUUAAGUGGGCCACAUGUUUCACGCAGCCGUACCCUCAAACCCCAAAUCUAAGAUUGAGACACUGUACCAUUAAGCCAGGACACGGUAGGAAAACAAAGAGCAAUGUGGGCACAUUCAUACUUCUCACCUUUAAAUGAUUGCAACCACGUGACCCAAAUCGUGUCUGACUUCUGAUAGUCGCCAGAUCCUAGGCCUGGCUCUCUGGCCAGUAUUUGCCCCUGGAGCCCUUCCUACCUGAGAGGCAGUAUGCAGUGGCUCCCAACCCCAAUUUGUUCCCUGUGAUCUACCUGAUAGAAUAUCAUAGAGUAAAGGGGACCAGGAGCUGGCGUGUAUUUGUGUAUUAUCUGGAAUUCUGCCACAACAGUGUCAUGGGAUCCCAUAAUGACAGAAUUUAAUGAGUAAUAAUUAAAAUUGCCAUCUGUUGAGCAGUUACAAUGUGUUUUACAACAGCUCCAUGAAGAAAGUAGUAACCUCAGUUAAUGAAUGAGGGAAUCUGAGUUUUCUGAAGUUGAGCAACUUGCCUAAGAAGUAGCACAAUUAGACUUCCAGCCCAUGCCCAUCUGAGCCCACAGCCCCUGAACAACUGCACUAACACGAUGUCUUGUUAGAGACCCCUGUAAACGCCCUUUGUGAUGAGAGAAUCACUUGCUCUCUCUGCUGCUAACAUGAAGUUCAAAUGAGAUCCAAGAUGUUAAAGCCCUUAGAGGGGCGGGGGCUGUGGCAGAGCGGGUACAGACGCUGCCUGCAGUCCCAGCUGCUCCUCUUCUGAUCCAGCUCUCUGCUAUGGCCUGGAAAAGCAGUAGAAGAUGGCCCAACCAGCGCUAUGGCACAGCGGGUUAAUGCAUGGCCUGAAGUGCCAGCAUCCCACAUGGGUGCCAGUUCAAGACCCAGCUGCCCCACUUCUGAUCCCGCUCUCUGCUGUGGCCUGGGAAAGCAGAAGAUGGCCCAAGUGCUUAGGCCUCUGCACCUGUGUGGGAGACCCAGAAGAAGCUCCUGGCUCCCGGCUUAGGAUUGCUGCAGCUCCGACCCUUGUGGCCAAUUGGAGAGUGAACCAGUGUAUGGAAGACCUCUCUCUCUGCCUCUGCCUCUCUCU
Molecule: long non-coding RNA, 3442 nt
Organism: Oryctolagus cuniculus (rabbit)
Lineage: Eukaryota; Metazoa; Chordata; Mammalia; Lagomorpha; Leporidae
Source: RefSeq, a predicted model, not a curated record